This 385-nucleotide ribosomal RNA is filed under the name uncultured microorganism. RNAcentral's name for it is "bacterial SSU rRNA". It matches the Rfam family "Archaeal small subunit ribosomal RNA", at positions 330 to 720 of the family's 1478-position model. The record is from RNAcentral.
GUGCACCAGUCGCGAAACCUCCGCAAUGCGGGAAACCGCGACGGGGACCCGAGUGCCGUGGCAACGCCACGGCUUUUCCGGAGUGUAAAAGCUCCGGGAAUAAGGGCUGGGCAAGGCCGGUGGCAGCCGCCGCGGUAAUACCGGCGGCCCGAGUGGUGGCCGCUAUUAUUGGGCCUAAAGCGUCCGUAGCCGGGCCCGUAAGUCCCUGGCGAAAUCCCACGGCUCAACCGUGGGGCUUGCUGGGGAUACUGCGGGUCUUGGGACCGGGAGAGGCGGGGGGUACCCCUGGGGUAGGGGUGAAAUCCUAUAAUCCCAGGGGGACCGCCAGUGGCGAAGGCGCCCCGCUGGAACGGGUCCGACGGUGAGGGACGAAGGCCAGGGGAGC